Molecule: ribosomal RNA, 48 nt
Filed under: Klebsiella pneumoniae
Lineage: Bacteria; Pseudomonadati; Pseudomonadota; Gammaproteobacteria; Enterobacterales; Enterobacteriaceae
Description: partial 23S ribosomal RNA
Source: RNAcentral
GAAGGAAAGAUGAAAAGAACUUUGAAAAGAGGGUUAAAAGACUUGAAA